This 205-nucleotide long non-coding RNA is filed under the name Amborella trichopoda. RNAcentral's name for it is "long non-coding RNA (ATRI_LNC004252)". The record is from RNAcentral. Lineage: Eukaryota; Viridiplantae; Streptophyta; Magnoliopsida; Amborellales; Amborellaceae.
UGAACGUGAAAGACAUUUAUUGUUGAAAAUGGAUUUUUUUAUUCAUAUGCUUAUCUAUACUUAUUCUGUAGAUGAUACUUCUUCCAUACCGUCGUGUAUGCGCACAUCAUAUUUUGUUUCUCUUGUCUUUUAUCUAUAGGAUCACUAGGAGAUCGAAAAGAUAAAAGUUAAAAAAGACCAUGUGAUUCUCUAAACAUAACCCUCA